ACGGAGGGUGCGAGCGUUAAUCGGAAUUACUGGGCGUAAAGCGUGCGCAGGCGGUUUGCUAAGACAGGUGUGAAAUCCCCGGGCUUAACCUGGGAAUGGCGCUUGUGACUGGCAGACUAGAGUACGGCAGAGGGGGGUGGAAUUCCAGGUGUAGCGGUGAAAUGCGUAGAGAUCUGGAGGAACACCGAUGGCGAAGGCAGCCCCCUGGGUCGAUACUGACGCUCAUGUACGAAAGCGUGGGGAGCAAACAG
Molecule: ribosomal RNA, 251 nt
Filed under: uncultured prokaryote
Description: partial 16S ribosomal RNA
Rfam family: Bacterial small subunit ribosomal RNA
Source: RNAcentral